This 75-nucleotide transfer RNA is filed under the name Candidatus Onthoplasma faecipullorum. RNAcentral's name for it is "tRNA-Arg". It matches the Rfam family "tRNA". From Rfam's summary of the family: Transfer RNA (tRNA) molecules are approximately 80 nucleotides in length. Their secondary structure includes four short double-helical elements and three loops (D, anti-codon, and T loops). The record is from RNAcentral. Lineage: Bacteria; Bacillati; Bacillota; Clostridia; Christensenellales; Christensenellaceae.
GCUUCCGUGGUGUAAUGGAUAGCACAAUGGUCUUCGGAACCAUUAGUUCGGGUUCAAAUCCUGACGGAAGCACCA